This 684-nucleotide ribosomal RNA is filed under the name Meloidogyne incognita (southern root-knot nematode). RNAcentral describes it as "eukaryotic LSU rRNA". It matches the Rfam family "Eukaryotic large subunit ribosomal RNA", at positions 357 to 902 of the family's 3401-position model. Lineage: Eukaryota; Metazoa; Nematoda; Chromadorea; Rhabditida; Meloidogynidae. The record is from RNAcentral.
GGGAAAGUUGCAAAGCACUUUGAAGAGAGAGUUAAAGAGGACGUGAAACCGGUAAGGUGGAAACGGAUAGAGUCGGCGUAUCAUUCAAUUAUUCAGUUACAUUAUUUUUAUGUUGUGACCUCUGAGCUCCAGAUUGGGACAGAGGGAAUCAGCAUAAUUUUUUGUGGUGCAUUUACUUGAUUGGUGCUUGGGGAUGUUUGAGGCAGAUUUGUUUCCGUCGUUUUGAGGCCAGCUUGCUGGUACCCAAACGGUGUUAGCAUUUUUUGUCUUGGGCAUUUGAGUAUGGCUCACGUGUAUUUAUUGGACAGAUCUGAGUGUAAGUUACGGUCGCAUGCGACACGUGCUUUUCAAUUAGUUCGGUCCAGUUAAUGCUCUCGUACUCGUUCCCCAUGUAAAAGCCGGUCAUCUAUCCGACCCGUCUUGAAACACGGACCAAGGAGUUUAUCGUGUGCGCAAGUUUUUGGGUGUUAAAAACUUAAAAGCGAAAUGAAAGUAAAUGACUCUUUAGAGUCUGAUGUGCGAUCUUGUAAAAAAGUGUAGCAUGGCCCCAUUCUAACUGUUUACAGUAGGGUGGCGGAAGAGCGUACGCGGUGAGACCCGAAAGAUGGUGAACUAUUCCUGAGCAGGACGAAGCCAGAGGAAACUCUGGUGGAAGUCCGAAGCGGUUCUGACGUGCAAAUCGAU